Molecule: ribosomal RNA, 486 nt
Filed under: uncultured bacterium
Lineage: Bacteria
Description: partial 16S ribosomal RNA
Rfam family: Bacterial small subunit ribosomal RNA
Source: RNAcentral
AUUGAACGCUGGCGGCAUGCCUUACACAUGCAAGUCGAACGGCAGCACGGGUGCUUGCACCUGGUGGCGAGUGGCGAACGGGUGAGUAAUACAUCGGAACAUGUCCUGUAGUGGGGGAUAGCCCGGCGAAAGCCGGAUUAAUACCGCAGACGAUCUACGGAUGAAAGCGGGGGACCUUCGGGCCUCGCGCUAUAGGGUUGGCCGAUGGCUGAUUAGCUAGUUGGUGGGGUAAAGGCCUACCAAGGCGACGAUCAGUAGCUGGUCUGAGAGGACGACCAGCCACACUGGGACUGAGACACGGCCCAGACUCCUACGGGAGGCAGCAGUGGGGAAUUUUGGACAAUGGGCGAAAGCCUGAUCCAGCAAUGCCGCGUGUGUGAAGAAGGCCUUCGGGUUGUAAAGCACUUUUGUCCGGAAAGAAAUCCUUGGCCCUAAUACGGUCGGGGGAUGACGGUACCGGAAGAAUAAGCACCGGCUAACUACGUG